This 2904-nucleotide ribosomal RNA is filed under the name Escherichia coli. RNAcentral's name for it is "bacterial LSU rRNA". It matches the Rfam family "Bacterial large subunit ribosomal RNA". Lineage: Bacteria; Pseudomonadati; Pseudomonadota; Gammaproteobacteria; Enterobacterales; Enterobacteriaceae. The record is from RNAcentral.
UUAAGCGACUAAGCGUACACGGUGGAUGCCCUGGCAGUCAGAGGCGAUGAAGGACGUGCUAAUCUGCGAUAAGCGUCGGUAAGGUGAUAUGAACCGUUAUAACCGGCGAUUUCCGAAUGGGGAAACCCAGUGUGAUUCGUCACACUAUCAUUAACUGAAUCCAUAGGUUAAUGAGGCGAACCGGGGGAACUGAAACAUCUAAGUACCCCGAGGAAAAGAAAUCAACCGAGAUUCCCCCAGUAGCGGCGAGCGAACGGGGAGGAGCCCAGAGCCUGAAUCAGUGUGUGUGUUAGUGGAAGCGUCUGGAAAGGCGCGCGAUACAGGGUGACAGCCCCGUACACAAAAAUGCACAUGCUGUGAGCUCGAUGAGUAGGGCGGGACACGUGGUAUCCUGUCUGAAUAUGGGGGGACCAUCCUCCAAGGCUAAAUACUCCUGACUGACCGAUAGUGAACCAGUACCGUGAGGGAAAGGCGAAAAGAACCCCGGCGAGGGGAGUGAAAAAGAACCUGAAACCGUGUACGUACAAGCAGUGGGAGCACAGAGCAAUCUGUGUGACUGCGUACCUUUUGUAUAAUGGGUCAGCGACUUAUAUUCUGUAGCAAGGUUAACCGAAUAGGGGAGCCGAAGGGAAACCGAGUCUUAACUGGGCGUUAAGUUGCAGGGUAUAGACCCGAAACCCGGUGAUCUAGCCAUGGGCAGGUUGAAGGUUGGGUAACACUAACUGGAGGACCGAACCGACUAAUGUUGAAAAAUUAGCGGAUGACUUGUGGCUGGGGGUGAAAGGCCAAUCAAACCGGGAGAUAGCUGGUUCUCCCCGAAAGCUAUUUAGGUAGCGCCUCGUGAAUUCAUCUCCGGGGGUAGAGCACUGUUUCGGCAAGGGGGUCAUCCCGACUUACCAACCCGAUGCAAACUGCGAAUACCGGAGAAUGUUAUCACGGGAGACACACGGCGGGUGCUAACGUCCGUCGUGAAGAGGGAAACAACCCAGACCGCCAGCUAAGGUCCCAAAGUCAUGGUUAAGUGGGAAACGAUGUGGGAAGGCCCAGACAGCCAGGAUGUUGGCUUAGAAGCAGCCAUCAUUUAAAGAAAGCGUAAUAGCUCACUGGUCGAGUCGGCCUGCGCGGAAGAUGUAACGGGGCUAAACCAUGCACCGAAGCUGCGGCAGCGACGCUUAUGCGUUGUUGGGUAGGGGAGCGUUCUGUAAGCCUGCGAAGGUGUGCUGUGAGGCAUGCUGGAGGUAUCAGAAGUGCGAAUGCUGACAUAAGUAACGAUAAAGCGGGUGAAAAGCCCGCUCGCCGGAAGACCAAGGGUUCCUGUCCAACGUUAAUCGGGGCAGGGUGAGUCGACCCCUAAGGCGAGGCCGAAAGGCGUAGUCGAUGGGAAACAGGUUAAUAUUCCUGUACUUGGUGUUACUGCGAAGGGGGGACGGAGAAGGCUAUGUUGGCCGGGCGACGGUUGUCCCGGUUUAAGCGUGUAGGCUGGUUUUCCAGGCAAAUCCGGAAAACUAAGGCUGAGGCGUGAUGACGAGGCACUACGGUGCUGAAGCAACAAAUGCCCUGCUUCCAGGAAAAGCCUCUAAGCAUCAGGUAACAUCAAAUCGUACCCCAAACCGACACAGGUGGUCAGGUAGAGAAUACCAAGGCGCUUGAGAGAACUCGGGUGAAGGAACUAGGCAAAAUGGUGCCGUAACUUCGGGAGAAGGCACGCUGAUAUGUAGGUGAAGUCCCUCGCGGAUGGAGCUGAAAUCAGUCGAAGAUACCAGCUGGCUGCAACUGUUUAUUAAAAACACAGCACUGUGCAAACACGAAAGUGGACGUAUACGGUGUGACGCCUGCCCGGUGCCGGAAGGUUAAUUGAUGGGGUCAGCGCAAGCGAAGCUCUUGAUCGAAGCCCCGGUAAACGGCGGCCGUAACUAUAACGGUCCUAAGGUAGCGAAAUUCCUUGUCGGGUAAGUUCCGACCUGCACGAAUGGCGUAAUGAUGGCCAGGCUGUCUCCACCCGAGACUCAGUGAAAUUGAACUCGCUGUGAAGAUGCAGUGUACCCGCGGCAAGACGGAAAGACCCCGUGAACCUUUACUAUAGCUUGACACUGAACAUUGAGCCUUGAUGUGUAGGAUAGGUGGGAGGCUUUGAAGUGUGGACGCCAGUCUGCAUGGAGCCGACCUUGAAAUACCACCCUUUAAUGUUUGAUGUUCUAACGUUGACCCGUAAUCCGGGUUGCGGACAGUGUCUGGUGGGUAGUUUGACUGGGGCGGUCUCCUCCUAAAGAGUAACGGAGGAGCACGAAGGUUGGCUAAUCCUGGUCGGACAUCAGGAGGUUAGUGCAAUGGCAUAAGCCAGCUUGACUGCGAGCGUGACGGCGCGAGCAGGUGCGAAAGCAGGUCAUAGUGAUCCGGUGGUUCUGAAUGGAAGGGCCAUCGCUCAACGGAUAAAAGGUACUCCGGGGAUAACAGGCUGAUACCGCCCAAGAGUUCAUAUCGACGGCGGUGUUUGGCACCUCGAUGUCGGCUCAUCACAUCCUGGGGCUGAAGUAGGUCCCAAGGGUAUGGCUGUUCGCCAUUUAAAGUGGUACGCGAGCUGGGUUUAGAACGUCGUGAGACAGUUCGGUCCCUAUCUGCCGUGGGCGCUGGAGAACUGAGGGGGGCUGCUCCUAGUACGAGAGGACCGGAGUGGACGCAUCACUGGUGUUCGGGUUGUCAUGCCAAUGGCACUGCCCGGUAGCUAAAUGCGGAAGAGAUAAGUGCUGAAAGCAUCUAAGCACGAAACUUGCCCCGAGAUGAGUUCUCCCUGACUCCUUGAGAGUCCUGAAGGAACGUUGAAGACGACGACGUUGAUAGGCCGGGUGUGUAAGCGCAGCGAUGCGUUGAGCUAACCGGUACUAAUGAACCGUGAGGCUUAACCUU